AUGGCCAGCCGGCCUUUGACUUUUCUCUCACCCGGCUUAACUCUUCGUUUUCUAUUUCUUUCUGAAUCCCGGCCACCUGCACAGCCGGCCGCAAGGGUCGUUGGCGGGACGCAGCACGCGCGGGAGCUGGCGGGCGCGCGGGUGCCGGCCAGCGCAGGCGGCAAUCCGGCAGGUGCGCGGGGCAGGGGCCAGCCCGGGAGAGGCAACCCGCAGCCAGAGAUGGUCGGGCCGCGGCCAGCGCGGGAGCCGGCGGGGGCGCGCGGGGCGCAGCCGACCAUGGCACCCGACGCGCGAGGACCGCCACAGCAGGGGAGGAGGAGGCCGAGCCGGCGGCAGGGGAGGCCGGCUGCAGAGGGCAGCCGGCGCCGGGUUGCAGGCGGAACCAGGUGGGGGCGAGAGCCGGCCGGGGCGCCGAGCGGAGCUGCGGGCGCGCACGGGGCCGACUUGCAGGGCAAGACGAACGCGUCGACCUGGCGGGCGGGUGUGGAAGCGGAGCAGCCGGCGGGCGCGGGAGCCGGCUCGGGGAGUCGGAGCGGACGAGGGCGGGGAAGCCGGACGGAGGGUUGGACGGCGCGAGGACGGCGACGCGAGCCCGGGGCGGAGCCGGCACAGGACGCACAACCCAGCCUGCGGCUCGGGAACCCGGCAGAGCGUUGCGGAAGGCAGUCGGAGCAGGGCUGGCGCGGGAUGAGGCAGCGUGCUGGGGUGGAGCCGCAGGCGCACAGGAGCAGCCGGACCCGGCGCAGUGCGGAAGGAGCUGGACCUGGCUCUACGGGCGCAGGCGGCGACGGGCCACACUCGGCCAGGCGCGGGAACGGCCGGGAGCUGGGGCGCGGACGCGCGGCACUGGUGGUACGAGGUGGUGUUGGUCGGACUGGGGACGGCGCAGCCCGGGCUUGA
This 900-nucleotide ribosomal RNA is filed under the name Triticum aestivum (bread wheat). RNAcentral describes it as "partial small subunit ribosomal RNA". The record is from RNAcentral. Lineage: Eukaryota; Viridiplantae; Streptophyta; Magnoliopsida; Poales; Poaceae.